UACGGGAGGCAGCAGUGGGGAAUAUUGCACAAUGGGCGCAGGCCUGAUGCAGCCAUGCCGCGUGUAUGAAGAAGGCCUUCGGGUUGUAAAGUACUUUCAGUCGUGAGGAAGGUGUUAAGGUUAAUAACCUUAGCAAUUGACGUUAGCGACAGAAGAAGCACCGGCUAACUCCGUGCCAGCAGCCGCGGUAAUACGGAGGGUGCGAGCGUUAAUCGGAAUUACUGGGCGUAAAGGGCACGCAGGCGGUUAAUUAAGUUGGAUGUGAAAUCCCCGGGCUUAACCUGGGAAUGGCAUUCAAGACUGGUUAGCUAGAGUCUUGUAGAGGGGGUAGAAUUCCAUGUGUAGCGGUGAAAUGCGUAGAGAUGUGGAGGAAUACCGGUGGCGAAGGCGGCCCCUGGACAAAGACUGACGCUCAUGUGCGAAAGCGUGGGGAGCAAACG
Molecule: ribosomal RNA, 440 nt
Filed under: uncultured bacterium
Lineage: Bacteria
Description: bacterial SSU rRNA
Rfam family: Bacterial small subunit ribosomal RNA
Source: RNAcentral